Molecule: non-coding RNA, 114 nt
Filed under: Williamsia sp.
Lineage: Bacteria; Bacillati; Actinomycetota; Actinomycetes; Mycobacteriales; Nocardiaceae
Description: SAM-IV sequence
Rfam family: SAM (S-adenosyl methionine) riboswitch aptamer
About the family: SAM-IV is a mRNA element that regulates gene expression via direct sensing of S-adenosylmethionine (SAM or AdoMet). SAM-IV riboswitches share conserved nucleotide positions with the previously described SAM-I riboswitches sequence analysis and molecular recognition experiments suggest that SAM-I and SAM-IV riboswitches share similar ligand binding sites, but have different scaffolds.
Source: RNAcentral
GGUCAUGAGUAUCAGCGACAAGCCCCGGCUCGCUGAUCGGCAACCCUCCAACCGCGGUGGGGUGCUCCGGGUGAUGACCAGGCCAGCGGUUUUUCGCCGCGGCAAGCGCGGGUC